AAUGCAGAUCUAGGCAAGGGAAUGAGGAAAAACUUUCUGAUAAAGUUUUAAGUGGGCCAGACUCUCUAAGGGGCUCUCAACACUGUACCGGGUGACUUCUGCUUGAGCUACAACUCCGUAGUGUCCAGAAGCUCAAAUUUGGAAUUUGGAGAAUGAGAAGCACUUCCUUAGAGGACAUCAGUUGGAUAUGAGAGACUUGCUGCUCGACGUAAAUCCCUGAAAAACAAAAGAAUGGACUCUGGGUAUACAUAAGCAUUAGCCUCUUUCAACCACAGAAUGUCGCACUGCCAUUGAAGACCUAACAUGUUCAAGUCUCUAGUCCUCUGGGUUGGAGAGAGGUUGAGCCUAAAGAGAAGCUACCAUGUUUGCUGGAUAUGUUAAAAGAUUGGGAUUCGGAAAUGAGAGACUCUUUCCAGAGACCUGAAUCUUGAAAAAAUACUGCUUUCAAUGAACAUAUUCUUCAGUGUAGAACUUUACUUACCACAAUAAGAAAUUAUAAAAGAAAAAAUCUUUAUUAUGUGAGCUAGAGGGCUGCAUAUGGGAAGUCAAGAAUGGAAAUAAAAAAAAAAAAGAAAACAAAAAGACUUAUUUAUCUCUCUUUUAAACAGCAAAAUUUCCAGAUUUUAGCUACAAAGUUCAUAGUCUUCCAGCACAGCUGCUGAACUUUUCUAGGAAUAGAAAACACUAUAUAAAUAACUUUGUAUUAUAACUUAAUUUUUCUGUCAUUCAACUUCAGUUUCCACCUAAAACAGCUCCCAGUUCAGCAUUUCAUGUAAAAUCAAAUAAGUCAGAUUCUUCAGAAUUGCUGUGGCUGACCUGGAAGAAAUAUAUCAUGUUUUUCUCUACAGUGUAAUCAGUGAUGUCUCAGAAGCUCACAUCCUUUUACAUUUUU
Nothoprocta perdicaria is the source of this 892-nucleotide long non-coding RNA. RefSeq lists it as uncharacterized. The transcript has 4 exons. NCBI's taxonomy places the organism in Eukaryota, Metazoa, Chordata, Aves, Tinamiformes, Tinamidae. The record is from RefSeq and is a predicted model, not a curated record.